Molecule: ribosomal RNA, 587 nt
Filed under: uncultured Septoglomus
Lineage: Eukaryota; Fungi; Glomeromycota; Glomeromycetes; Glomerales; Glomeraceae
Description: LSU rRNA
Rfam family: Eukaryotic large subunit ribosomal RNA
Source: RNAcentral
CAUGGAGGGUGAGAAUCCCGUUCAUGGUUAAUUCUAAGAUACUUUAUGAUGCGUUUUCGAAGAGUCGAGUUGUUUGGGAUUGCAGCUCAAAAUGGGAGGUAAAUUUCUCCUAAGGCUAAAUAUUGGCGAGAGACCGAUAGCGAACAAGUACCGUGAGGGAAAGAUGAAAAGAACUUUGAAAAGAGAGUUAAACAGUACGUGAAAUUGUUGAAAGGGAAACGAUUGAAGUCAGUCGUACCAGCGGGAAAUCAACCUUUCGAGUGGGGGUUUUGGAGUUUUGAAGAGUGGUUAAAACCUUUGAGAUUUCAAAAAUUUCGCUCUUUUGGUGUACUUUCUCGUGGGUAGGUUAACAUCGAUUUUGAUCAUCAUAAAAAGAUUGGAGGAAUGUAGCUUCGAUCUUGUAUUGAAGUGUUAUAGCCUUUGGUAAAUGUGAUGAUUAGGAUCGAGGAUUGCAACGAAUACCCUUUUGGGCUAUCCGCCUGAUCUCUGAUACGUGGCCUUGGUAUCGAAAGCGUGCUUAUGGUAUUGAGGUAUUACGGUCAAAAGGUUAGAACGGAUUACAUUCGUUAAGGAUGUUGACGUAAUGG